This 249-nucleotide unclassified non-coding RNA is filed under the name uncultured fungus. RNAcentral's name for it is "sequence contains ITS1". The record is from RNAcentral. Lineage: Eukaryota; Fungi.
UUUAUAUAUUGCUUGAUUCUCUGACCAUACAUAAUCUCUGAGUCUGUAUCUUCGGCGAGCCCGCACUGGGACAUCGGAGUCAGAUGUCCCGGUGGCUGUUUCCAGCGUCUCGCCGAAGCAACCGUCAAUACGCAAGGGUGGGAGUUCCUGCGAGCAGGAUUCUCGGUAAUGAUCCUUCCGCAGGUUCACCUGUUUGCAGUUAGUAAAACUCGAAAGCGAGGAUUAUUGAUUAUUACUGACCUACGGAAA